GCGGAGGAAAAGAAACCAACAGGGAUUGCCCCAGUAACGGCGAGUGAAGCGGCAACAGCUCAAAUUUGAAAUCUGGUCCCCCCGCGGGGCCCGAGUUGUAAUUUGAAGAGGAUGCUUCUGGCAAGGUGCCGUCCGAGUUCCCUGGAACGGGACGCCGCAGAGGGUGAGAGCCCCGUACGGUCGGACGCCGAGCCUCUGUGAAGCUCCUUCGACGAGUCGAGUAGUUUGGGAAUGCUGCUCAAAAUGGGAGGUAAACCCCUUCUAAAGCUAAAUACCGGCCAGAGACCGAUAGCGCACAAGUAGAGUGAUCGAAAGAUGAAAAGCACUUUGAAAAGAGAGUUAAAAAGCACGUGAAAUUGUUGAAAGGGAAGCGCUUGCGACCAGACUCGCGCCCGUCGGAUCAGCCGUCGCUCGUCGGCGGCGCACUCCGGCGGGCUCGGGCCAGCAUCAGUUCGCCUCGGGGGGAGAAAGGCGGCGGGAAUGUGGCUCUACGGAGUGUUAUAGCCCGCCGCGUAAUACCCCCGGGCGGACU
Molecule: ribosomal RNA, 532 nt
Filed under: Microascus cinereus
Lineage: Eukaryota; Fungi; Ascomycota; Sordariomycetes; Microascales; Microascaceae
Description: eukaryotic LSU rRNA
Rfam family: Eukaryotic large subunit ribosomal RNA
Source: RNAcentral